Molecule: ribosomal RNA, 494 nt
Filed under: uncultured bacterium
Lineage: Bacteria
Description: bacterial SSU rRNA
Rfam family: Bacterial small subunit ribosomal RNA
Source: RNAcentral
ACUCAAAUGAAUUGACGGGGGCCCGCACAAGCAGUGGAGUAUGUGGAUUAAUUCGAUGCAACGCGAAGAACCUUACCGGGGCUUGACAUGGGGACGACAGGUGUAGAGAUACACCCUUCUUCGGACGUCCCACACAGGUGGUGCAUGGUUGUCGUCAGCUCGUGUCGUGAGAUGUUGGGUUAAGUCCCGCAACGAGCGCAACCCUUAUCAUUAGUUGCUACAUUCAGUUGAGCACUCUAAUGAGACUGCCGUUGGCAAAACGGAGGAAGGUGGGGAUGACGUCAAAUCAUCAUGCCCUUUAUGUCCCGGGCUUCACACGUACUACAAUGGCAUUUAACAAUGAGCAGCGAACCCGCGAGGGGAAGCAAAUCUCCAAAAAGUGCCUCAGUUCGGAUUGUAGGCUGAAACUCGCCUGCAUGAAGUCGGAAUUGCUAGUAAUCGUGAAUCAGCAUGUCACGGUGAAUACGUUCCCGGGCCUUGUACACACCGCCCGU